GUUCACGAACAAUUAUUAUUGAGCUUGUUAUUAAGUACAUGCUACAAGAAGAAAUACGAAUGACGGUUGGAAAUGCUAAACAAAUAGCAGACAAAAUUGGGAACCUUUUUAAGACGGAGUAUUUGGGGUAUUAUUAUACCAAACAAAGCGGUAAAAAGCCUCAGGGGAAGAUCUUUGAUAAAUAUUAUAAUUCUACACGACUUCUCAAGAAGAGUGGUAUUUUACAAAAAAGAUCUUACUCAGCCUUGUCUCCAGGAGCACAGCACAAACGAGUUUUUAACCUUGGUACCAAAGUGAUGUGGUCAAUUUAGAUGAACCAGAAUCCGAUGUUUCCGAGCACAUUGAAUAAAUUAUAAGGGACAAUUGUACUUGGGCGGAAAUGGAAAGGCAUUGGGAUGCUUCAAAAAGCUUUAGACUAGUUGAUAUCACAAAAGCCGAAUCAACAGUGGAUAUCCUAGCCAAAUGGAAGCAGUAUAAGAACCCGAUUGGCUUUAAAUUGAUCAAUAUGGAUUUCAAACACCUAUAACCUAAAGAUGAGAGUUUAUCAUUAAAAUAUGAUGAUUUUUCUGUAAAAA
Molecule: long non-coding RNA, 575 nt
Organism: Eupeodes corollae
Lineage: Eukaryota; Metazoa; Arthropoda; Insecta; Diptera; Syrphidae
Exons: 3
Source: RefSeq, a predicted model, not a curated record